RNAcentral lists this ribosomal RNA (303 nucleotides) under uncultured bacterium. RNAcentral describes it as "partial 16S ribosomal RNA". It matches the Rfam family "Bacterial small subunit ribosomal RNA", at positions 507 to 807 of the family's 1533-position model. The record is from RNAcentral.
AGCAGUAGCCGCGGUAAUACGUAGGUGGCAAGCGUUGUCCGGAAUUAUUGGGCGUAAAGGGCUCGCAGGCGGUUUCUUAAGUCUGAUGUGAAAGCCCCCGGCUCAACCGGGGAGGGUCAUUGGAAACUGGGAAACUUGAGUGCAGAAGAGGAGAGUGGAAUUCCACGUGUAGCGGUGAAAUGCGUAGAGAUGUGGAGGAACACCAGUGGCGAAGGCGACUCUCUGGUCUGUAACUGACGCUGAGGAGCGAAAGCGUGGGGAGCAAACAGGAUUAGAUACCCCGGUAGUCCCUGUCUCUUAUAC